This 253-nucleotide ribosomal RNA is filed under the name uncultured bacterium. Its description in RNAcentral is "partial 16S ribosomal RNA". It matches the Rfam family "Bacterial small subunit ribosomal RNA", at positions 524 to 776 of the family's 1533-position model. The record is from RNAcentral.
GACGAACCGAGCGAACGUUGUUCGGAAUCACUGGGCUUAAAGCGCACGUAGGCGGCUUCUUAAGUCGGUGGUGAAAUCCUGGAGCUCAACUCCAGAACUGCCUUCGAUACUGGGAAGCUCGAGUCCGGGAGAGGUGAGUGGAACUGCGAGUGUAGAGGUGAAAUUCGUAGAUAUUCGCAAGAACACCGGUGGCGAAGGCGGUUCUCUGGGCAUUACCUGACGCUGAGGAGCGAAAGUGUGGGGAGCGAACAGG